RNAcentral lists this ribosomal RNA (445 nucleotides) under uncultured bacterium. RNAcentral describes it as "partial 16S ribosomal RNA". It matches the Rfam family "Bacterial small subunit ribosomal RNA", at positions 354 to 796 of the family's 1533-position model. The record is from RNAcentral.
GUGAGGAAUAUUGGUCAAUGGGCGAGAGCCUGAACCAGCCAAGUCGCGUGAAGGAAGACGGCCCUACGGGUUGUAAACUUCUUUUGCAAUGGAAUAAAAAGAGUUACGUGUAAUUCAUUGUAUGUACAUUGCGAAUAAGGAUCGGCUAACUCCGUGCCAGCAGCCGCGGUAAUACGGAGGAUCCGAGCGUUAUCCGGAUUUAUUGGGUUUAAAGGGUGCGUAGGCGGAUUGGAAAGUCAGCGGUGAAAGUUUGCAGCUUAACUGUAAAAUUGCCAUUGAAACUGUCAGGCUUGAGUGCAAAUGAGGUAGGCGGAAUGUGUUGUGUAGCGGUGAAAUGCAUAGAUAUAACACAGAACACCAAUUGCGAAGGCAGCUUACUGGGAUGCAACUGACGCUGAGGCACGAAAGCGUGGGGAUCAAACAGGAUUAGAAACCCUGGUAGUCC